This 87-nucleotide transfer RNA is filed under the name Hominiventricola filiformis. RNAcentral describes it as "tRNA-Trp". It matches the Rfam family "tRNA". From Rfam's summary of the family: Transfer RNA (tRNA) molecules are approximately 80 nucleotides in length. The record is from RNAcentral. Lineage: Bacteria; Bacillati; Bacillota; Clostridia; Lachnospirales; Lachnospiraceae.
GAGUCAGUAGCUUAUUGGCAAGAGCAUUUCAACCAAUGUGCGCACAAACAGGUAUGAAAGGUUCGGGUUCGAUUCCCGACUGACUCA